RNAcentral lists this ribosomal RNA (433 nucleotides) under uncultured bacterium. RNAcentral describes it as "bacterial SSU rRNA". It matches the Rfam family "Bacterial small subunit ribosomal RNA", at positions 340 to 789 of the family's 1533-position model. The record is from RNAcentral.
UACGGAAGGCAGCAGUGGGGAAUCUUGCGCAAUGGGCGAAAGCCUGACGCAGCCAUGCCGCGUGAAUGAUGAAGGUCUUAGGAUUGUAAAAUUCUUUCACCGGGGACGAUAAUGACGGUACCCGGAGAAGAAGCCCCGGCUAACUUCGUGCCAGCAGCCGCGGUAAUACGAAGGGGCUAGCGUUGCUCGGAAUUACUGGGCGUAAAGGGAGCGUAGGCGGACAUUUAAGUCAGGGGUGAAAUCCCGGGGCUCAACCUCGGAAUUGCCUUUUGAUACUGGGUGUCUUGAGUAUGAGAGAGGUGUGUGGAACUCCGAGUGUAGAGGUGAAAUUCGUAGAUAUUCGGAAGAACACCAGUGGCGAAGGCGACACACUGGCUCAUUACUGACGCUGAGGCUCGAAAGCGUGGGGAGCAAACAGGGAUUAGAUACCCGU